CUUCUUUCUCGCCUUAGAUAUAGCUGUGCCACAUAAAUUUCAUAAAAAUAAGCUCUUGGUUAGCCGGGUGUGGUGGCGCGUGCCUGUAAUCCCAGCUCCUUGGGAGGCUGAGGCAGGAGAAUUGCUUGAACCUGGGAGGCAGAGGUUGCAGUGAGCCGAGAUCACACCACUGCACUCCAGCCUGGACGACAGAGUGAGACUCCGUCUCAAAAAACAAACAAACUAACUAACUAACAAAAAAGCUCUCAGGAAAAUGGCCUGAACACAGAUCCCUCCUUUGGAUGGAGAUGCCAAAUUUGGAUCUCCAGGGCACCUCUAAUUUCUGAGGGUGGAGGCAGAGAGGCACACUAUUGGGGUCCCCGGAUAAUUUUGUGGACAUGAAGGCUGAUGUCCACUGGAGACGUCUAGUUGGCUCCUCGCUUACUAAAUUCAGCAGCUGAUGGCCCCUACUCGUUGCUGGACAGCAUAAACAUCAGGUUCUGGUAAAUAAACUCAGGCUAUCAUGCAACUGCCCAACAUGCACUUAAGCUGUGACUGACAGUUUGCUGGGGGCGGACUUAGAGUCUAGGGCCAAAGCUUUUGGGUGCAGAGACUCCAAGGUUCCAAGAUAAACAAAUCUGUCGGUGAGAGUGACCAGAGUGUUAGGUCAGUCCAAGGGUCACUUAUAGGUCAUCCUGCUGGGAGCUUGGUCUCUGCUUUGUGUUUAUGCUGGGGAGAAAAGCAGGAGGGGCCAGAGGGUUGGGUCUCCGCUGGGAAAACAUCCCUGGCCUACUCAUCAGAGCCUCUGGAAGUGGAUUGGUAUCCCCUCUGCUCCCAGGAAUCCAGUAAAAGUUUGCAGAGGAUGCAGCAGGUGAGUCCUGUAGACAUCAGAGGGGCUUCGACGCUGCACAGCUGCCACUCAGAGGGGACACUGCUGGCCUCGAUCACAUCAUGGAGACCACAAGGAUGCUGGGAAUGCACUUCCCAUUGGCCGAGCUGAGGAUAUGAGCAGGCCAUGGGCUGGAUGGCUCACGCGUUCAGAGGAGGGACAGCACUUGUUGCAGAGAAUGAGAUUUAGUGUGAUGUGUAUAAAGGUGUUUCAUGGCUAAAGACCAAACAGAGACUAGUGUCUCCCACUCAGGAAGAAUAAUCACCAUGCUAAUGGAUUAAAAUUCUGUUACAUAGAAUAAUCACAGGUUUAAAUAAGACUCUGCCUGCUUUAUAAUUAUCAGUAUGUGAAAAUACACUGAAUCAAGGCUGGGUGUAGUGGCUCAUGCCUGUAAUCCCAGCACUUUGGGAGGCUGAGGCGGGAGGAUCACUUGAGGGCAGGAGUUCAAGACCAGCCUGGCCAAUCUGGUGAAACCCCGUCUCUACUAAAAAUACAAAAAUUAACUGGGUGUGGUGGGAGGCACCUGUAAUCCCAGCUACUGGGGAGGCUGAGGCAGGAGAAUCGCUUGAGCCUGGGAGGUGGAGGUUGCAGUGAGCCGAGACUGUGCCACUGCACUCCAGCUUGGGUGACAGAGUGAGUCUCUGUCUCAAAAAAAAAGAAAAAAAUAUAUAUAUAUGUACAAAUCAAGAUGACUCUUAGAUAUUUGGCUAGAGCCACUGGGUUGAUGGGUAGAUGGUGAUGUUAGUUCUCAAGGAAAGGACUUGGGACAAAUUUAUUUGUCACAUUUAUUUCCUGUUUCGAUUAUUUCCGAA
Molecule: long non-coding RNA, 1680 nt
Organism: Pan troglodytes (chimpanzee)
Lineage: Eukaryota; Metazoa; Chordata; Mammalia; Primates; Hominidae
Source: Ensembl